UUUUCCCGUCAUCCCUUGCCCUUAAUAUAUACCCACGUCUUACGUUGGUCGGCCUUUUCCGAGCUCGUGGUGGGCUGAGUCAGAGCCUUGAAAAAACUCACUGCCUGCUUUCAAAAAGGUCAGGUGCCCACAGGUGAACAUGUGCCCCAUUUUGAAAAUUCAAGUAUCCAUGAAAACCUGUUCCAUGCUGAUGAAGAUACCCUUCGCCCCUGAAUCAUCUGUUUGUUUCAUUCUGAAAACUCGAGUUGGUGCCAUGCCCUUGCUAUGUCAUCCUGCCAGCUCCAAAUCCUGCUCUGAUUCAGGAACCUGAAUGAUGGCUUGAUUACUGUCAUUGUAGCUAUGCUUUUAUCGGAAGGAUCCGACUUCUGGAUGGCAUAACCACUACAGUUCUCCAGAUACUUUAAAAGAAGUAACCUCCUGGAAGCUGUUUGGAAGGCUGCUUUUAUGAAAAAUACUGCAUCACAGAAACUUGUUUACACAUCAACAGAACUAGAGAACUAUUCACCAACAAAAUGAUUGCAAGCUGGCAUUGAUUGGGGGCGGCAACUGUAUUUAAAAGAAAAGCUACACUUGAAUGACAGAUUUCAGAGAGGUAUCCAUGAUGGUCUUCGGGGUAUGAAGAGACUGCAUGGUUUUUUUGUUGCAACAGAUGAAACAUUCAUUGCAUCAUCCUUUUGUCAGUCGCAGCCCAUUUAAUGUGUUGCUUGGCUUCAUGUGUCCAUUAAAGAGGCUUACACCACAGUAAGCUUUUUAGUUUUUAAGGUGUUAUGAAGACCAGCAUUUGCGGUGCUGAUAACAAAUUUGGAGACCCAGCUUCAAAGAUGAAUUGUGUGCUCACAUUCCAAGAUGGUUGUGGAUGAAGCCCUGGGCUGCUGGAUGCUGAAAAACCUAUUUUGUGUGAUUGAAAUAAAGCGGGUUUUCAUGGUCUUUCUGCUAUAUGUUCAGCCAUUCCCCCCCCCCCCCCCAUCUUUUGACUCACUAUUGUCUUCUGCAGUCCCUGGUUGGAUAACAAUAAAGUUUUAUUUUUAUAUGUCUUA
Long non-coding RNA from Heteronotia binoei (common prickly gecko), 1037 nucleotides. RefSeq lists it as uncharacterized. The transcript has 5 exons. The record is from RefSeq and is a predicted model, not a curated record. NCBI's taxonomy places the organism in Eukaryota, Metazoa, Chordata, Lepidosauria, Squamata, Gekkonidae.